CCCGCGGCGAGAGCGCGGCGGCUCCCUUGGGUGCGUUUAGUGUCUCCACGGCUUCCUCCUCGGCCCUUUUCCGUGCCAGCCGGGAAAAACAGACCUGCGCGGCACAGGCGCGGCUCCGUCACCUCCCGCCGCUGCUUUGCUAUUGCUGUGCCUCCGUGAGCACGAAAACAAAGCGCAGGGCAAGAGGAGGCUGCCGCCCGCCCUGCCGCCCGCGCCGGCGCCCGGCGUCCUGGCCAUCCCUCCCUGCAGCUUGAGUGGCAAGUUCUAACAAAGCUUUGUCGAAAAGCCUGGAAACUGCAUUGUUAAUUUUUCAAAUCAAGGAUAUGUCUUUAUUCAGAAAGUACAUUAAAAGCAUUCUGAUUUCCAAGAAAAUAAAUAACAGCGGCUAGGAGACUUAAACGAAGCAGGAGGAACAAGGAGAAGGGAAGGGCACCAUUCUUGCUGACAUAAUUAGUCCCUGUCUGAAAGCUAUAAAAGUGUCCAGGCUGGAAUGGAAGCUCUGUGAAGCCAGGCACUUUUGCUCUUUUGCUCACUGCUGCAUCCCCACAGCCUAGGACAGUGCCUGGGACAUGUAAGUCCACACAUAUUUGCUGGAUGAAUGUAUGUAUUUAAUUCUCUCAUUUUGCAAAGUGGAUGUUAUAUUCAUUUUUUUAAACAUGCCCAGAUUAAAAAAUAAAAACGAAAUUCAAUGAGGUUAAAUAUUGUAUUCUAUAUUCUCACACUAAUAAAUGGCCCAUCUCAGACUUAAGGACAGACAUACCUAGCUCCAAAGCCAGAAUUCUUUCCUCACUACCCCCUAUAGC
Long non-coding RNA from Myotis myotis, 803 nucleotides. RefSeq lists it as uncharacterized. The record is from RefSeq and is a predicted model, not a curated record. Lineage: Eukaryota; Metazoa; Chordata; Mammalia; Chiroptera; Vespertilionidae. The transcript has 3 exons.